This 433-nucleotide ribosomal RNA is filed under the name uncultured bacterium. RNAcentral describes it as "partial 16S ribosomal RNA". It matches the Rfam family "Bacterial small subunit ribosomal RNA", at positions 29 to 507 of the family's 1533-position model. The record is from RNAcentral.
AGCGAACGCUGGCGGCAGGCCUAACACAUGCAAGUCGAACGAACUCUUCGGGGUUAGUGGCGGACGGGUGCGUAACACGUGGGAACGUGCCUUUUGGUUCGGAAUAACUCAGGGAAAGUUGUGCUAAUACCGAAUGAGCCCUUCGGGGGAAAGAUUUAUCGCCAUUAGAGCGGCCCGCGUCGGAUUAGCUAGUUGGUGGGGUAACGGCCCACCAAGGCGACGAUCAGUAGCUGGUCUGAGAGGAUGACCAGCCACACUGGGACUGAGACACGGCCCAGACUCCUACGGGAGGCAGCAGUGGGGAAUCUUGCGCAAUGGGCGAAAGCCUGACGCAGCCAUGCCGCGUGAAUGAUGAAGGUCUUAGGAUUGUAAAAUUCUUUCACCGGGGACGAUAAUGACGGUACCCGGAGAAGAAGCCCCGGCUAACUUCGUG